CAGGAGACACAAAUACCUUUUUCUUUGGGGUUGCUGUGAUGGCUCCUCUGACCUUAAAGGUCCGCAGAAAGAGAGCGAGAGUACACGCUGACCCCUUUUAGUGAGAAGAAGCUAUUCAAAUGAGGCAAGGGGUCAGUUUUCAGGGGGCUGAGUCUAUCUUCAUUAUGUCCACUGUCAGUAGGUUGACUGAUACCCGGGUAGGCUAGGGGCACAGUAAGAAGGGGACACACAUGAGGCACUUCCAUGGAAGAUUCUAUCCUAAACAGGACAAGGGGUUAUAUUACAAAGGAACAGGUGAGCAUAGCUUCACCCAUGGGACUGUAGCAAGACACACCCAUGCACAAGACACCGACAUUCGAACCCAAGAAGAGUGGGGAAAGCUCUGCCACAUUUCUGUGACUGAGCACCUCAGCACCCAGCUGGGGCGUAUGUCUCAGUCACAUGUAAGGUUGGUCUCCCACACUGAGUCUUUUUGAUAUUUUGUAAUAAAAAUCAGAUUUUGAUUAACAUUGUCAUCCUCUUAUGCAGGAUCUUUAUAUUAUAUGAGCUUCCUCAAAUAACAUAUUUUAUUGUAUAUUUUUUUUUGUGGUGCUGGGGAUUGAAUGCAGGGCCUUGUGUACAUCAGGCAAGCUCUCUGCCAACCGAGUUAUAUCCCCAGCCCCCCACAGAUAACAUUUUGUUGUGCAUUGAAAAAUCUUUCAUUGUUGAAAAAUUAUGGCUGUUGUGUCCUAUGUCUCCUACAUAUGCUUUUUCUUACAAGUUUUUACCAUUGUUCCUUGUUAUUUUUCUUUUUAAUACAAUUGUUUUUAGUUGUAGUUGGACAUAAUACCUUUAUUCUGUAUAUUUAUUUUUAUGUGGUGCUAAGGAUCGAACCCAGUACCUCAAAUGUGCGAGGCAAGUGCUCUGCUGAUUAGCCACAACCCCAUUGCCAUGUUCCUUGUUAUUUUAAUCUGGUUUUGGUAGGGACCAGUCGUGUGAUCUUUUCCCUUUCUUAAACAUCUCAUUUAAGUCUUAUGGUAUGUGGACUGAGAUAGUCAAGUAACCACAGCUUUCUCAUUUUUAUAUGCUCAUCUUUUUAUCUGUUUGGCAGUUCCUCAUUGUUAGGCUUUUUGCUGAAUUUGGGAAUGGCAGUGUUUUUUCAAGAGUGGUCUAAGCUUUGUGAACCCACAAGUUUAGCUUUUACUCACAUGCCCCCUCUAAUGGUUCUCUUCUGAAAAUUUAAUUAGAGACGUUGUUCAUAUGGAUUUCUUCCUUCUGGGAGAUGGCCUACCAGCAAAAAGCACAAUUUGAUAUUUUAUUGCUGGUAAUGGGAACAUUCACAAAUAAUAGUUGUCG
Molecule: long non-coding RNA, 1335 nt
Filed under: Marmota monax (woodchuck)
Lineage: Eukaryota; Metazoa; Chordata; Mammalia; Rodentia; Sciuridae
Source: RNAcentral